UUAAAUUUUUGAAGUUAUCUUAGCUUUUUUGUUGGGUGAAAUCAGUAUAAAGAGUUUCUCUUUCUUUUAAAAUUAAUAGGAAUUAAAAAACUUUGAUUUAAAACCAGGAUUAGAUACCCUGUUAUUCUAAGUUAUAUUUAGACAGGGUAGUAAAAGUUGUUCUUCAAACCCAAAGAUUUUGGCGGCACUUUAUCCAAAUAGAGGAGCUUGUCCCUUAAUCGAUAGUCCCCGUUUUAUCUUUCCUCUGUUUGUAGAGCUUGUAUACCGCCGUUGUCAGAUUACUUUUAGAGAAUGUUUUCAAGUUAAAAGACUUUUCUACUUCAGGUCAAGGUGCAGUUCAUACAGAGGUGGAGGUGAGCUACAAUUUUCUUUAGAAAAACGGAUUUCAAGCCUUGAAGCUGGUUGAAGGUGGAUUUAUUAGUAAAGUAA
RNAcentral lists this ribosomal RNA (429 nucleotides) under Daphnia dentifera. RNAcentral describes it as "partial 12S rRNA". The record is from RNAcentral. Lineage: Eukaryota; Metazoa; Arthropoda; Branchiopoda; Diplostraca; Daphniidae.